GAAAGUCUUCUGACCUGUGGCUCUUGGGCCAACUCAGGAGGCACAUCUGGCUUUCUUUGUUGAGUGGAGUUUAAACUUUCACAAGUUUAUUUUUUCUCUUCUGUGAUUUCUUCUUAGAGGCGGCAGGGGCGCAUUCGCCAGUUCUGGAGAGGUGGCCAGGUUGCACAUUGUGAGCCGGAUGAGGCCUCCCUCCGGCCAGGCCCAGGUCAGCCUUUGUCUCCUGGCUGGGUUGCAGCAUGGAAGGGGGACAAACGGGGACAGGAGGAGAAAGGGAGGUCUCCAGAGGGUGCCGGAGAGGCCUUCCAGUGAGCGAUCGGCCCCUAGCUGUGGGUUCCAGCCUCACCUCCCUCUCCUGAACCCUGCUCUCAGAUGAACUUGGGAGUGGCCUGUAGGCCGUGGGGAGUUUGAAUGGACUGGAGAGCCGCACACAGGCCCUGAAACACCCACCCUGGAUGCAGCGGACGUUUUUGUGAUGCACCACAAACCCUGCCCAGGGGGAGUACCUCUGAGUAUUUUCUGAUUUCAUAGAGUUUGCAGAGUCCCCACCUGAGGCCUACACCACCAUGCUGUGGGCACAGGGAAGAGGUCGGGAGCCCAGGCUCACCUGGGGACCUACGGAGAAGCUGAGGCGGGGGACAGGACAUUAGGAGUGCCAGGUCCACAGCCCUCAGGUCUGCCCCAGUGCCAGGGCCCUUUAGCUCUGGGAACCAUCAGUCGGCUGACUGGCGACACCUGCCACCUUAGGUGGUCCUCUGGAUGCCUCCAAGAAGCCAGAGCAGGAGGACAGACGGGGAGUUGUUCCAUCGUCACCCAAGGUUUUGUUGGUAUGGAUAACAUUUGUCUUCAAAACGAGGUUUUAUUUUUUAAAAACUGCUGUUGUAUCUUGUUAUUUUUAAUGCUAGAACCUGUUAGCCGAGCCGGUUGCACUCUCUGCGUUAAGUUGCCCACAGAUUGCUGCCACAGGAGUGCUGUCUAUUUUGGGGGUGUCCAGACAGGCUUUGAGGCCACAGUAGAAGUGGUGAAAUUGAAAUAAUGAAAAAAGAAAGAAACCCUCUGUCCCACAGGUCUCUGUUCACUUGGUGAGGGCGCUCGAGCACAGAACCCAGUCCUGUCUUGUCCAGUUUUGGGGUGGAGUCUGGAUUCCAGAUCUCAGCUGCCCCUGAGGCUCGGAUACUCAUGUGCACCAAUGUCCGGGACUCACUGUCCAGUGGCUGGGAGGGUUUGUGACUAGAGACGUUACCAGCAGAGGCCACAAUUAGUGUUGUGCAAUAAGACUGGUAGUUGUGGUUGUAAAACGUGCCCAAGAGGGCGAAGUAAAUUCAUAAACUUUAUGUGUGUGUGUAUAUAUAUACACAUACGUAUAUCUAUAUUCUGAUAGAAAUUUUGCUCAAGGUCAGAGAAGACCUUGACUCCUGUCUUGCUGGCUAGAGCCAGGCUGGGUUUUCCCGUGAGCCAUGCUCUGUAAUGCUGCAGUUCAGCUGGCAGGAAGAGCCUUUAGCUGAAAUAUUUACCUGCUGAUUUGGGGUCUCUUAAAUUUGGAAUUGCCUUUCAUGUGUUUAAGAGAGAGAUUUACAUCCAAUCAGACUUUUAUAAUAACAUUUUAAAUCAUAAUAGAACAAGGGUGUCUGGCUGCAGGUUCCCGUACGUUUCAACAGUAAGGGAAGCUGGUGAACCCCUGGGUCGUGCCCAGACCUGCCUGUUGG
This 1703-nucleotide long non-coding RNA is filed under the name Marmota monax (woodchuck). The record is from RNAcentral. Lineage: Eukaryota; Metazoa; Chordata; Mammalia; Rodentia; Sciuridae.